CAAGGUUGACCUCGGAUCAGGUAGGGAUACCCGCUGAACUUAAGCAUAUCA
This 51-nucleotide ribosomal RNA is filed under the name Lasiodiplodia theobromae. RNAcentral describes it as "partial 28S ribosomal RNA". Lineage: Eukaryota; Fungi; Ascomycota; Dothideomycetes; Botryosphaeriales; Botryosphaeriaceae. The record is from RNAcentral. RNAcentral also lists the same sequence under 1 other name.